Molecule: ribosomal RNA, 320 nt
Filed under: uncultured eukaryote
Lineage: Eukaryota
Description: partial 18S ribosomal RNA
Rfam family: Eukaryotic small subunit ribosomal RNA
Source: RNAcentral
CCCCUAGAUGUUCUGGGCCGCACGCGCGCUACACUGAACAGUUCAACAAGUCUUAACCUUGGCCGAUAGGUCUGGGUAAUCUUUGAACGCUGUUCGUGAUUGGGAUGGACCUUUGCAAUUAUGGGUCUUCAACGAGGAAUUCCUAGUAAACGCAAGUCAUCAGCUUGCAUUGAUUACGUCCCUGCCCUUUGUACACACCGCCCGUCGCACCUACCGAUUGAAUGGUCCGGUGAAAUCUCGGGACGGCGGCUUGGUCGCUUGCGUCCGACUGCUGAAACUUGAUUAAACCAUNUNAUUUAGNGGAAGGUGAANUCGUANCA